GACGAACGCUGGCGGCGUGCUUAACACAUGCAAGUCGAACGGAAAGGCCCUGCUUUUGUGGGGUGCUCGAGUGGCGAACGGGUGAGUAACACGUGAGUAACCUGCCCUUGACUUUGGGAUAACUUCAGGAAACUGGGGCUAAUACCGGAUAGGAGCUCCUGCUGCAUGGUGGGGGUUGGAAAGUUUCGGCGGUUGGGGAUGGACUCGCGGCUUAUCAGCUUGUUGGUGGGGUAGUGGCUUACCAAGGCUUUGACGGGUAGCCGGCCUGAGAGGGUGACCGGCGACAUUGGGACUGAGGUACGGCCCAGACUGCUACGGGAGGCAGCAGUGGGGAAUAUUGCACAAUGGGCGGAAGCGUGAUGCAGCAACGCCGCGUGCGGGAUGACGGCCUUCGGGUUGUAAACCGCUGCCGCCUGUGACGAAGCGUGAGUGACGGUAGUGGGUAAAGAAGCACCGGCUAACUACGUG
Molecule: ribosomal RNA, 468 nt
Filed under: uncultured bacterium
Lineage: Bacteria
Description: partial 16S ribosomal RNA
Rfam family: Bacterial small subunit ribosomal RNA
Source: RNAcentral